RNAcentral lists this ribosomal RNA (433 nucleotides) under uncultured bacterium. RNAcentral describes it as "partial 16S ribosomal RNA". It matches the Rfam family "Bacterial small subunit ribosomal RNA", at positions 29 to 507 of the family's 1533-position model. The record is from RNAcentral.
AACGAACGCUGGCGGCAGGCCUAACACAUGCAAGUCGAGCGAGACCUUCGGGUCUAGCGGCGGACGGGUGAGUAACGCGUGGGAACGUGCCCUUUUCUACGGAAUAGCCUCGGGAAACUGAGCGUAAUACCGUAUACGCCCUUUGGGGGAAAGAUUUAUCGGAGAAGGAUCGACCCGCGUUGGAUUAGGUAGUUGGUGGGGUAAUGGCCUACCAAGCCUACGAUCCAUAGCUGGUUUGAGAGGAUGAUCAGCCACACUGGGACUGAGACACGGCCCAGACUCCUACGGGAGGCAGCAGUGGGGAAUCUUAGACAAUGGGGGCAACCCUGAUCUAGCCAUGCCGCGUGAGUGAUGAAGGCCUUAGGGUUGUAAAGCUCUUUCAGCUGGGAAGAUAAUGACGGUACCAGCAGAAGAAGCCCCGGCUAACUCCGUG